Molecule: small nucleolar RNA, 129 nt
Organism: Pteropus vampyrus (large flying fox)
Lineage: Eukaryota; Metazoa; Chordata; Mammalia; Chiroptera; Pteropodidae
Source: Ensembl
CGCAUCUUUUUGCCGGACCUGGAGCGGUUAUUGUCUGCUGCUAAGGUUUCUACUGCAGAUGCAAGAAAAAAGAUCUCUGUGCUUUCUGUCUGUGAUUGUGGCAGCCGAGGCUGAAUGGGGUAUACAGAG